CCUACGGGAGGCAGCAGUGGGGAAUAUUGCACAAUGGGGGAAACCCUGAUGCAGCAACGCCGCGUGAGUGAAGAAGUAUUUCGGUAUGUAAAGCUCUAUCAGCAGGGAAGAUAAUGACGGUACCUGACUAAGAAGCUCCGGCUAAAUACGUGCCAGCAGC
This 160-nucleotide ribosomal RNA is filed under the name uncultured bacterium. RNAcentral describes it as "partial 16S ribosomal RNA". It matches the Rfam family "Bacterial small subunit ribosomal RNA", at positions 338 to 515 of the family's 1533-position model. The record is from RNAcentral.